This 570-nucleotide ribosomal RNA is filed under the name Nitzschia inconspicua. Its description in RNAcentral is "partial large subunit ribosomal RNA". It matches the Rfam family "Eukaryotic large subunit ribosomal RNA", at positions 30 to 664 of the family's 3401-position model. The record is from RNAcentral. Lineage: Eukaryota; Bacillariophyta; Bacillariophyceae; Bacillariales; Bacillariaceae.
GAAAUUAAGCAUAUAAUUAAGCGGAGGAAAAGAAACUAACCAGGAUUCCCCCAGUAAGGGCGACUGAAGCGGGAAGAGCUCAGGAUGUGAAUCUGUGCUUGUAAUGGGCACCGAAUUGUGGUCUGUAGACUGUGACGUUAUCCCUGCGGGCCAAGUUCUUUGGAAAAAGGCAGCCGAGAGGGUGACACUCCCGUCCGCCUGCUGGAUUGAGUCACAUGUCGACGAGUCGAGUUGUUUGGGAUUGCAGCUCUAAUUGGGUGGUAAAUUCCAUCUAAAGCUAAAUAUUGGUGGGAGACCGAUAGCGUACAAGUACCGUGAGGGAAAGAUGCAAAGAACUUUGAAAAGAGAGUUAAAGAGUACCUGAAAUUGCUGAAACGGAAGCGAAGGAAACCAGUGUUUGGCCUGAUCAUACUUCCCUUGCCACUUGUGGCGUGGGCGCUGUGGUCUUGCUGUCUGUCAGGUUUGGUUUGGUCCAUUGGAAGAGCUCCGUCGGAGUUGANGACGGUUUGCUAGCAUUGGACGGGACUGAUUCUGACGAAAUGGUUUUCUUUACCCCGUCUUGAAACACGG